This 309-nucleotide ribosomal RNA is filed under the name uncultured bacterium. RNAcentral's name for it is "partial 16S ribosomal RNA". It matches the Rfam family "Bacterial small subunit ribosomal RNA", at positions 504 to 808 of the family's 1533-position model. The record is from RNAcentral.
AGAGACAGCAGCAGCCACGGUAAUACGUAGGUCCCGAGCGUUGUCCGGAUUUAUUGGGCGUAAAGCGAGCGCAGGCGGUUAGAUAAGUCUGAAGUUAAAGGCUGUGGCUUAACCAUAGUACGCUUUGGAAACUGUUUAACUUGAGUGCAAGAGGGGAGAGUGGAAUUCCAUGUGUAGCGGUGAAAUGCGUAGAUAUAUGGAGGAACGCCGGUGGCGAAAGCGGCUCUCUGGCUUGUAACUGACGCUGUGGCUCGAAAGCGUGGGGAGCAAACAGGAUUAGAGACCCCGGUAGUCCCUGUCUCUUAUACA